GAUGAACGCUGACAGAAUGCUUAACACAUGCAAGUCAACUUGAAUUUGGGUUUUUAACUUAGAUUUGGGUGGCGGACGGGUGAGUAACGCGUAAAGAACUUGCCUCACAGCUAGGGACAACAUUUAGAAAUGAAUGCUAAUACCUAAUAUUAUGAUAAUAGGGCAUCCUAUAAUUAUGAAAGCUAUAUGCGCUGUGAGAGAGCUUUGCGUCCCAUUAGCUAGUUGGAGAGGUAACGGCUCACCAAGGCGAUGAUGGGUAGCCGGCCUGAGAGGGUGAUCGGCCACAAGGGGACUGAGACACGGCCCUUACUCCUACGGGAGGCAGCAGUGGGGAAUAUUGGACAAUGGACCGAGAGUCUGAUCCAGCAAUUCUGUGUGCACGAUGAAGUUUUUCGGAAUGUAAAGUGCUUUCAGUUGGGAAGAAAGAAAUGACGGUACCAACAGAAGAAGUGACGGCUAAAUACGUGCCAGCAGCCGCGGUAAUACGUAUGUCACGAGCGUUAUCCGGAUUUAUUGGGCGUAAAGCGCGUCUAGGUGGUUAUAUAAGUCUGAUGUGAAAAUGCAGGGCUCAACUCUGUAUUGCGUUGGAAACUGUAUAACUAGAGUACUGGAGAGGUAAGCGGAACUACAAGUGUAGAGGUGAAAUUCGUAGAUAUUUGUAGGAAUGCCGAUGGGGGAAGCCAGCUUACUGGACAGAUACUGACGCUGAAGCGCGAAAGCGUGGGUAGCAAACAGG
Molecule: ribosomal RNA, 736 nt
Filed under: uncultured Fusobacterium sp.
Lineage: Bacteria; Fusobacteriati; Fusobacteriota; Fusobacteriia; Fusobacteriales; Fusobacteriaceae
Description: bacterial SSU rRNA
Rfam family: Bacterial small subunit ribosomal RNA
Source: RNAcentral